GCUGUUAAAAAACUCGUAGUUGGAUCAAGAGUUGGACAGUGCACGGUGGCCCCAUUUGUGUGGCCGGCUCCGGUCAGUUAUACGGUGGCGGAACAACCCCGUGCGCCAAACUGUCCACUCUAACAGACCGAAGCGGUUCCCUGUGAGUAGGCUCCUUAAUUGGGGCUGAAAGCGCCUACGCAUCAACCAUAUGCAUACGGGACGUCGGUCAAUGUUACUGUGAACAAACCAGCGUGUCCAAGGCAGGCUUUCGCCUGAAUGUUCGAACAUGGAAUAACAAGGGAUCGAUUCUCUCGGUUCUUUUUGUUGGUUUUAUCCCGAGAAGGAGAAAUUCAGGCCACGGUGUCUGAGUUGGGUUUCCCAGGGCUUCGGCUUUGGCCCCAAUUAGGCGGUGUCCUUACGGGAUCAAUAGGGACUGACGGGGUCGUACCUACUUCCGCGUCAGAGGUGAAAUUCUUAGAUCGCGGGAAGAGGAACUUCAGCGAAAGCAUUCGACAAGAAUGUCUUCAUUAAUCAAGAACGAGAGUGUGGGGAUCGAAGAUGAUCAGAUACCGUCGUAGUCCACUACUGUAAACAAUGCCGUGUCAGGAUUGAUAAGUGAACAGAAUGACUUUCACAGCACUAACCCCUGAAACGAGA
Molecule: ribosomal RNA, 639 nt
Filed under: uncultured marine eukaryote
Lineage: Eukaryota
Description: SSU rRNA
Rfam family: Eukaryotic small subunit ribosomal RNA
Source: RNAcentral